AUUGAACGCUGGCGGCAGGCCUAACACAUGCAAGUCGAGCGGAUGAAGGGAGCUUGCUCCUGGAUUCAGCGGCGGACGGGUGAGUAAUGCCUAGGAAUCUGCCUGGUAGUGGGGGAUAACGUCCGGAAACGGGCGCUAAUACCGCAUACGUCCUGAGGGAGAAAGUGGGGGAUCUUCGGACCUCACGCUAUCAGAUGAGCCUAGGUCGGAUUAGCUAGUUGGUGGGGUAAAGGCCUACCAAGGCGACGAUCCGUAACUGGUCUGAGAGGAUGAUCAGUCACACUGGAACUGAGACACAGUCCAGACUCCUACGGGAGGCAGCAGUGGAGAAUAUUGGACGAUGGGCGAAAGCCUGAUCCAGCCAUACCGCGUGUGUGAAGAAGGUCUUCGGAUUGUAAAGCACUUUAAGUUGGGAGGAAGGGCAGUAAGUUAAUACCUUGCUGUUUUGACGUUACCAACAGAAUAAGCACCGGCUAACUUCGUG
This 484-nucleotide ribosomal RNA is filed under the name uncultured bacterium. RNAcentral describes it as "partial 16S ribosomal RNA". It matches the Rfam family "Bacterial small subunit ribosomal RNA", at positions 30 to 507 of the family's 1533-position model. The record is from RNAcentral.